CCUACGGGAGGCAGCAGUGAGGAAUAUUGGUCAAUGGGCGCGAGCCUGAACCAGCCAAGCAGCGUGAAGGAUGAAUGCGCUAAGGGUUGUAAACUUCUUUUGUAAAGGAAUAAAGUGAGGCACGUGUGCCUUUGUGAAUGUACUUUAUGAAUAAGGAUCGGCUAACUCCGUGCCAGCAGCCGCGGUAAUACGGAGGAUCCGAGCGUUAUCCGGAUUUAUUGGGUUUAAAGGGAGCGUAGAUGGGUUGUUAAGUCAGUUGUUAAAGUUAGCGGCUCAACCGUCAGCGUGCAGUUGAUACUGGCAGCCUUGAGUACGCUAGAGGUAGGCGGAAUGCGCGGUGUAGCGGGGAAAUGCAUAGAUAUCGCGCAGAACUCCGAUUGCGAAGGCAGCCUACUAGCCUGCCACUGACAUUGAUGCUCGAAAGUGUGGGUAUCAAACAGGAUUAGAUACCCUUGUAGUC
Molecule: ribosomal RNA, 460 nt
Filed under: uncultured bacterium
Lineage: Bacteria
Description: partial 16S ribosomal RNA
Rfam family: Bacterial small subunit ribosomal RNA
Source: RNAcentral